GACGAACGCUGGCGGCGUGCCUAAUACAUGCAAGUAGAACGCUGAAGGAGGAGCUUGCUUCUCUGGAUGAGUUGCGAACGGGUGAGUAACGCGUAGGUAACCUGCCUGGUAGCGGGGGAUAACUAUUGGAAACGAUAGCUAAUACCGCAUAAUAGUAGAUGUUGCAUGACAUUUGCUUAAAAGGUGCAAUUGCAUCACUACCAGAUGGACCUGCGUUGUAUUAGCUAGUUGGGGGGGUAACGGCUCACCAAGGCGACGAUACAUAGCCGACCAGAGAGGGUGAUCGGCCACACUGGGACGGAGACACGGCCCAGACUCCUGCGGGAGGCAGCAGUAGGGAAUCUUCGGCAAUGGACGGAAGGCUGACCGAGCAACGCCGCGUGAGUGAAGAAGGUUGUCGGAUCGUAAAGCUCAGUUGUAAGAGAAGAACGAGUGUGAGAGUGGAAAGUUCACACUGUGACGGUAUCUGACCAGAAAGCGACGGCUAACUACGUG
This 495-nucleotide ribosomal RNA is filed under the name uncultured bacterium. Its description in RNAcentral is "partial 16S ribosomal RNA". It matches the Rfam family "Bacterial small subunit ribosomal RNA", at positions 28 to 507 of the family's 1533-position model. The record is from RNAcentral.